Patiria miniata (bat star) is the source of this 73-nucleotide non-coding RNA. NCBI's taxonomy places the organism in Eukaryota, Metazoa, Echinodermata, Asteroidea, Valvatida, Asterinidae. The record is from the annotation of a RefSeq genome assembly.
GGCUGGAUGGCUCAGUUGGCAGAGCAUUGGAAUUGCAAUCCGGAGGUCGCAGGUUCAAACACUGCUCCAGUCU